GACGAACGCUGGCGGCGUGCUUAACACAUGCAAGUCGAACGAAGAGCGAUGGAGGUUUGCUUUUUGCAGUCUUAGUGGAGCGGGUGUGAGACACGCGUAAUAAAUCUGCCUUUCAGUGGGGGAACACAGUGGGAAAGGACCGAUUAUAGCGCAUACGAUCUAAUCGCGGCGUCGAGGAGUGAUGGAAGGUGGCGUCUACACUUAUGCAUGCACUGGAGGAGGGGUUUGUGUCUGAUUAGGUAGCUGGUGGGGAAACGGACCACCCAGGCCAUGAUCAGUAGCCGGUCUGGAGGGGUGGACCGCCACAUUGGGACUGAGACACGGCCCAAGCUCCUACGGGAAGCAGCAGUGGGGAAUCUUCCGCAAUGGACGAAAGUCUGACGGAGCAACGCCGCGGGGAUGAAGACAGCCUUCGGGUUGUAAAACUCUUUUAAUCAGGACGAAAGGCCUUCUUGCGAAUAGUGAGAAGGAUUGACGGUACCGAAACAGAAAGCCACGGCUAACUACGUG
This 510-nucleotide ribosomal RNA is filed under the name uncultured bacterium. RNAcentral describes it as "partial 16S ribosomal RNA". It matches the Rfam family "Bacterial small subunit ribosomal RNA", at positions 28 to 507 of the family's 1533-position model. The record is from RNAcentral.